Molecule: ribosomal RNA, 468 nt
Filed under: uncultured bacterium
Lineage: Bacteria
Description: partial 16S ribosomal RNA
Rfam family: Bacterial small subunit ribosomal RNA
Source: RNAcentral
GAUGAACGCUGGCGGCGUGCUUAAUACAUGCAAGUCGAGGGGCAAGGCGACGCUAGUGUUGGGUGCUCGAGUGGCGAGCAAAUGAGUAAGACACGAGUACCCUGCCUACGCCUUAGGGAUAACUACCGGGGACAGAGCCGAAUACAUACUCCGUGAUACUGCUGCAUGGUGUGGGUUGGUUAGUAACGGUGGGUGGGGAUGGACUCGCGGUUUAUCUGCUUGUUGGUGAGGUAGUGGCUUACCAAGGCUUUGCCGGGUAGCCGGCAUGAGAGGGUGACCGGCCACAUUGGGACUGAGAUACGGCCCAGAGUCCUACGGGAUGCAGCAGAGGGGAAGAUUGCACGAUGGGGGGAAGCCUGAUGCAGCAACGCGGCGUGCGGGAUGGUGGCCUUCGUGUUGUAAACCGCUUUCGCCUGUAAUGAAGCGUGGGUGACGGUAAUGGGUAAAGAAGCACCGGCUAACUACGUG